GGUUAAGCGACUAAGCGUACACGGUGGAUGCCCUGGCAGUCAGAGGCGAUGAAGGACGUGCUAAUCUGCGAUAAGCGUCGGUAAGGUGAUAUGAACCGUUAUAACCGGCGAUUUCCGAAUGGGGAAACCCAGUGUGUUUCGACACACUAUCAUUAACUGAAUCCAUAGGUUAAUGAGGCGAACCGGGGGAACUGAAACAUCUAAGUACCCCGAGGAAAAGAAAUCAACCGAGAUUCCCCCAGUAGCGGCGAGCGAACGGGGAGCAGCCCAGAGCCUGAAUCAGUGUGUGUGUUAGUGGAAGCGUCUGGAAAGGCGCGCGAUACAGGGUGACAGCCCCGUACACAAAAAUGCACAUGCUGUGAGCUCGAUGAGUAGGGCGGGACACGUGGUAUCCUGUCUGAAUAUGGGGGGACCAUCCUCCAAGGCUAAAUACUCCUGACUGACCGAUAGUGAACCAGUACCGUGAGGGAAAGGCGAAAAGAACCCCGGCGAGGGGAGUGAAAAAGAACCUGAAACCGUGUACGUACAAGCAGUGGGAGCACGCUUAGGCGUGUGACUGCGUACCUUUUGUAUAAUGGGUCAGCGACUUAUAUUCUGUAGCAAGGUUAACCGAAUAGGGGAGCCGAAGGGAAACCGAGUCUUAACUGGGCGUUAAGUUGCAGGGUAUAGACCCGAAACCCGGUGAUCUAGCCAUGGGCAGGUUGAAGGUUGGGUAACACUAACUGGAGGACCGAACCGACUAAUGUUGAAAAAUUAGCGGAUGACUUGUGGCUGGGGGUGAAAGGCCAAUCAAACCGGGAGAUAGCUGGUUCUCCCCGAAAGCUAUUUAGGUAGCGCCUCGUGAAUUCAUCUCCGGGGGUAGAGCACUGUUUCGGCAAGGGGGUCAUCCCGACUUACCAACCCGAUGCAAACUGCGAAUACCGGAGAAUGUUAUCACGGGAGACACACGGCGGGUGCUAACGUCCGUCGUGAAGAGGGAAACAACCCAGACCGCCAGCUAAGGUCCCAAAGUCAUGGUUAAGUGGGAAACGAUGUGGGAAGGCCCAGACAGCCAGGAUGUUGGCUUAGAAGCAGCCAUCAUUUAAAGAAAGCGUAAUAGCUCACUGGUCGAGUCGGCCUGCGCGGAAGAUGUAACGGGGCUAAACCAUGCACCGAAGCUGCGGCAGCGACACUAUGUGUUGUUGGGUAGGGGAGCGUUCUGUAAGCCUGUGAAGGUGUACUGUGAGGUAUGCUGGAGGUAUCAGAAGUGCGAAUGCUGACAUAAGUAACGAUAAAGCGGGUGAAAAGCCCGCUCGCCGGAAGACCAAGGGUUCCUGUCCAACGUUAAUCGGGGCAGGGUGAGUCGACCCCUAAGGCGAGGCCGAAAGGCGUAGUCGAUGGGAAACAGGUUAAUAUUCCUGUACUUGGUGUUACUGCGAAGGGGGGACGGAGAAGGCUAUGUUGGCCGGGCGACGGUUGUCCCGGUUUAAGCGUGUAGGCUGGUUUUCCAGGCAAAUCCGGAAAAUCAAGGCUGAGGCGUGAUGACGAGGCACUACGGUGCUGAAGCAACAAAUGCCCUGCUUCCAGGAAAAGCCUCUAAGCAUCAGGUAACAUCAAAUCGUACCCCAAACCGACACAGGUGGUCAGGUAGAGAAUACCAAGGCGCUUGAGAGAACUCGGGUGAAGGAACUAGGCAAAAUGGUGCCGUAACUUCGGGAGAAGGCACGCUGAUAUGUAGGUGAAGUCCCUCGCGGAUGGAGCUGAAAUCAGUCGAAGAUACCAGCUGGCUGCAACUGUUUAUUAAAAACACAGCACUGUGCAAACACGAAAGUGGACGUAUACGGUGUGACGCCUGCCCGGUGCCGGAAGGUUAAUUGAUGGGGUCAGCGCAAGCGAAGCUCUUGAUCGAAGCCCCGGUAAACGGCGGCCGUAACUAUAACGGUCCUAAGGUAGCGAAAUUCCUUGUCGGGUAAGUUCCGACCUGCACGAAUGGCGUAAUGAUGGCCAGGCUGUCUCCACCCGAGACUCAGUGAAAUUGAACUCGCUGUGAAGAUGCAGUGUACCCGCGGCAAGACGGAAAGACCCCGUGAACCUUUACUAUAGCUUGACACUGAACAUUGAGCCUUGAUGUGUAGGAUAGGUGGGAGGCUUUGAAGUGUGGACGCCAGUCUGCAUGGAGCCGGCCUUGAAAUACCACCCUUUAAUGUUUGAUGUUCUAACGUGGACCCGUAAUCCGGGUUGCGGACAGUGUCUGGUGGGUAGUUUGACUGGGGCGGUCUCCUCCUAAAGAGUAACGGAGGAGCACGAAGGUUGGCUAAUCCUGGUCGGACAUCAGGAGGUUAGUGCAAUGGCAUAAGCCAGCUUGACUGCGAGCGUGACGGCGCGAGCAGGUGCGAAAGCAGGUCAUAGUGAUCCGGUGGUUCUGAAUGGAAGGGCCAUCGCUCAACGGAUAAAAGGUACUCCGGGGAUAACAGGCUGAUACCGCCCAAGAGUUCAUAUCGACGGCGGUGUUUGGCACCUCGAUGUCGGCUCAUCACAUCCUGGGGCUGAAGUAGGUCCCAAGGGUAUGGCUGUUCGCCAUUUAAAGUGGUACGCGAGCUGGGUUUAGAACGUCGUGAGACAGUUCGGUCCCUAUCUGCCGUGGGCGCUGGAGAACUGAGGGGGGCUGCUCCUAGUACGAGAGGACCGGAGUGGACGCAUCACUGGUGUUCGGGUUGUCAUGCCAAUGGCACUGCCCGGUAGCUAAAUGCGGAAGAGAUAAGUGCUGAAAGCAUCUAAGCACGAAACUUGCCCCGAGAUGAGUUCUCCCUGACUCCUUGAGAGUCCUGAAGGAACGUUGAAGACGACGACGUUGAUAGGCCGGGUGUGUAAGCGCAGCGAUGCGUUGAGCUAACCGGUACUAAUGAACCGUGAGGCUUAACCUUACAACGCCGAAGGUGUUUUG
RNAcentral lists this ribosomal RNA (2923 nucleotides) under Escherichia coli B7A. RNAcentral's name for it is "bacterial LSU rRNA". It matches the Rfam family "Bacterial large subunit ribosomal RNA". Lineage: Bacteria; Pseudomonadati; Pseudomonadota; Gammaproteobacteria; Enterobacterales; Enterobacteriaceae. The record is from RNAcentral.